AGGAGUGUAGCUCAGUUAGGGAGAGCAGCGGUCUCCAAAACCGCAGGGCGGGGGUUCGAGUCCCUCCACUCCUGCCA
This 77-nucleotide transfer RNA is filed under the name Chloroflexota bacterium. RNAcentral describes it as "tRNA-Trp". It matches the Rfam family "tRNA". Rfam says of the family: Transfer RNA (tRNA) molecules are approximately 80 nucleotides in length. Lineage: Bacteria; Bacillati; Chloroflexota. The record is from RNAcentral. RNAcentral also lists the same sequence under 4 other names.